This 512-nucleotide ribosomal RNA is filed under the name uncultured bacterium. RNAcentral describes it as "partial 16S ribosomal RNA". It matches the Rfam family "Bacterial small subunit ribosomal RNA", at positions 28 to 507 of the family's 1533-position model. The record is from RNAcentral.
GAUGAACGCUGGCGGCGUGCCUAAUACAUGCAAGUCGAACGAAACUUCUUUAUCACCGAGUGCUUGCACUCACCGAUAAAGAGUUGAGUGGCGAACGGGUGAGUAACACGUGGGCAACCUGCCCAAAAGAGGGGGAUAACACUUGGAAACAGGUGCUAAUACCGCAUAACCAUAGUUACCGCAUGGUAACUAUGUAAAAGGUGGCUAUACUACCGCUUUUGGAUGGGCCCGCGGCGCAUUAGCUAGUUGGUAGGGUAAAGGCUUACCAAGGCGAUGAUGCGUAGCCGAAUUGAGAGGUUGAUCGGCCACAUUGGGACUGAGACACGGCCCAAACUCCUACGGGAGGCAGCAGUAGGGAAUCUUCCACAAUGGGCGAAAGCCUGAUGGAGCAACGCCGCGUGGGUGAAGAAGGUCUUCGGAUCGUAAAACCCUGUUGUUAGAGAAGAAAGUGCGUGAGAGUAACUGUUCACGUUUCGACGGUAUCUAACCAGAAAGCCACGGCUAACUACGUG